Molecule: ribosomal RNA, 402 nt
Filed under: uncultured Glomeromycotina
Lineage: Eukaryota; Fungi; Glomeromycota
Description: SSU rRNA
Rfam family: Eukaryotic small subunit ribosomal RNA
Source: RNAcentral
AGCAGCCGCGGUAAUUCCAGCUCCAAUAGCGUAUAUUAGUGUUGUUGCGGUUAAAAAGCUCGUAGUUGAAUUUCGGGAUUGGGAUAUAUCGAUUGUGCCUUUAGGGGCAUGAAACGGUGUGUAGCCAAUUUCUCACCUUCUGGUGAUUCGGGAUGCUCUUGGGUGUUUCGAUGAAUCAGGACCUUUACUUUGAAAAAAUUAGAGUGUUUAAAGCGGGCAUUUUUGCUUGAAUACAUUAGCAUGGAAUAAUAAAAUAGGACGAUGGUUCUAUUUUGUUGGUUUUUAGGAUCACGUAAUGAUUAAUAGGGAUAGUUGGGGGCAUUAGUAUUCAAUUGUCAGAGGUGAAAUUCUUGGAUUUAUUGAGGACUAACUACUGCGAAAGCAUUUGCCAAGGAUGUUUUC